GCACCGCUACCAACGGUGC
Molecule: unclassified non-coding RNA, 19 nt
Filed under: Escherichia coli
Lineage: Bacteria; Pseudomonadati; Pseudomonadota; Gammaproteobacteria; Enterobacterales; Enterobacteriaceae
Description: 5'-R(*GP*CP*AP*CP*CP*GP*CP*UP*AP*CP*CP*AP*AP*CP*GP*GP*UP*GP*C)-3' from Escherichia coli (PDB 1QC0, chain D)
Source: RNAcentral